Molecule: long non-coding RNA, 642 nt
Organism: Xiphophorus couchianus (Monterrey platyfish)
Lineage: Eukaryota; Metazoa; Chordata; Actinopteri; Cyprinodontiformes; Poeciliidae
Exons: 3
Source: RefSeq, a predicted model, not a curated record
UUUUUUUUUUUGCUAUACUCUGCUGUAAACGACAGUGAGCAUAUCCAUGCAGCAAUCAAAUUAAACUAUUAACUUUUUUAGACAGAUUCAGAAACUUUGGUUUACAAAUAGAAGCUGCGGGAGGCCAUGAACACUCAGAAGAACGCACAGAGGGCAGCUAUGAGAGCUCACUUCAGGAGAAAAUAUCGACUCUCACAGAGCCCUGAGGACACAAACCACCUGAGGUCUGUUGGCGGCAAAGUAUCGCUCCCCCCUGAGCUGUCGAAGAUGAUUCAUCCUGAAACCAGAACCAAGGACGACAGCUUCAACCUGCUUAGCGCCUUCCAAGGCCUCGGCAUCAGCGGGGCGGUGUUUACUGGAGGGAAACCCAGCAGGACGUCAACGCCAACUCACGGAGACUCUUGUAGGGUCAUGUAAUCAGCGUUGUGUAGAUUAACAGAAAAAGGUGGAGUGUGUGAUGGUGUAAAUUAUGAUUUUUUUUAAUGAAAUUAGAGGCGUAAUUUAAUCUCAGCUGCUGACAAAAUGACCGAAUGUGACUGUGUUGGUUAGAAAAUAUACAUAUUAAACACAAUUCAAUAAAAGAAUAUUCAGUAGCAGAAUAACUUUAAUACCAAAACUGCAAAUAAAUGGAAAUAAUGGAAA